CGUAGGGGGCAAGCGUUGUCCGGAUUUAUUGGGCGUAAAGAGCUCGUAGGUGGUUCGGUAAGUCGGAUGUGAAAUCUCCAGGCUCAACCUGGAGGGGUCAUUCGAUACUGCCGUGACUAGAGUUCGGUAGGGGAGUGUGGAAUUCCUGGUGGAGCGGUGAAAUGCGCAGAUAUCAGGAGGAACACCCGUAGCGAAGGCGGCACUCUGGGCCGACACUGACACUGAAGAGCGAAAGCGUGGGGAGCGAACAGGAUUAGAUACCCUGGUAGUCCACGCCGUAAACGUUGGGCACUAGGUGUGGGACUCUAUCGACGGGUACCGUGCCGUAGCUAACGCAUUAAGUGCCCCGCCUGGGGAGUACGGCCGCAAGGCUA
RNAcentral lists this ribosomal RNA (374 nucleotides) under uncultured organism. RNAcentral describes it as "bacterial SSU rRNA". It matches the Rfam family "Bacterial small subunit ribosomal RNA", at positions 526 to 896 of the family's 1533-position model. The record is from RNAcentral.